CUUGAUUUGGAAGGACAACUAACGCCAAUCCUGGUCUCCCUCGUUAGCAAGGAUUCCUCGAUGUUGGAUGGACUUGACAAUGCCAGCAUUGAAAUGGAAGAAGCCAAGGCUAGGUUGAAUGAGAUCAUAACUUCUGGUUCAAAGGCUGCUAAUAGCAAUGGAUCCUCUGAAUUUCCAUGGAUGACUGAUGGAGCUGGACUACCCCCACCUUCUUCCCAAACUGGUAAAAUUGACUAAGAAGGUCACAGAACAAGUGAGACUGCUUGCAAAAGAUGAAGAUGAAGAACUUACAGAAACAAGCUCAUAUAAUGUAAUUCCGCCGUAUGACCAAGCAAAGGCCCUUGGUAAAACAAAUAUUGAUGUUGAUCGAAUUGCUGCUGGACUACCCUGUGGCAGUGAGGGGUUCCUUUUGAUGUAUGCACGCUGGAGAAAACUGGAAAGAGACUUGUACAAUGAACGCAAAGAGCGAUUUGAUAUAACACAAAUUCCUGAUGUUUAUGACUCAUGC
This 508-nucleotide unclassified non-coding RNA is filed under the name Hevea brasiliensis (rubber tree). The record is from RNAcentral. Lineage: Eukaryota; Viridiplantae; Streptophyta; Magnoliopsida; Malpighiales; Euphorbiaceae.